RNAcentral lists this ribosomal RNA (221 nucleotides) under uncultured bacterium. RNAcentral describes it as "partial 16S ribosomal RNA". It matches the Rfam family "Bacterial small subunit ribosomal RNA", at positions 524 to 737 of the family's 1533-position model. The record is from RNAcentral.
UACGUAGGGUGCAAGCGUUGUCCGGAAUUAUUGGGCGUAAAGAGCUCGUAGGUGGCGGGUCACGUCGGGUGUGAAAUCCCGAGGCUCAACCUCGGGUCUGCAGUCGAUACGAGCAAACUAGAGUGUUGCAGGGGAGACUGGAAUUCCUGGUGAUAGCGGUGAAAUGACGCAGAGUAUCAGGGAGGGAACACCGGUGGGCGAAAGGCGGGUCUCUGGGCGAA